GGUCGGGAUAGCUCAGCUGGUAGAG
Molecule: transfer RNA, 25 nt
Filed under: Primula cuneifolia
Lineage: Eukaryota; Viridiplantae; Streptophyta; Magnoliopsida; Ericales; Primulaceae
Description: partial tRNA-Phe(GAA)
Source: RNAcentral